ACGCACGCUGGCGGCGUGCCUCAUACAUGCCAGUCGAACGCACUCUCGUUUAGAUUGAAGGAGUUUGCUCCUGAUUGAUAAACAUUUGAGUGAGUGGCGGACGGGUGAGUAACACGUGGGUAACCUGCCCUAAAGUGGGGGAUAACAUUUGGAAACAGAUGCUAAUACCGCAUAAAACCUAACACCGCAUGGUGUAGGGUUGAAAGAUGGUUUCGGCUAUCACUUUAGGAUGGACCCGCGGUGCAUUAGUUAGUUGGUGAGGUAAAGGCUCACCAAGACCGUGAUGCAUAGCCGACCUGAGAGGGUAAUCGGCCACACUGGGACUGAGACACGGCCCAGACUCCUACGGGAGGCAGCAGUAGGGAAUCUUCCACAAUGGACGAAAGUCUGAUGGAGCAACGCCGCGUGAGUGAAGAAGGUUUUCGGAUCGUAAAACUCUGUUGUUGGAGAAGAAUGUAUCUGAUAGUAACUGAUCAGGUAGUGACGGUAUCCAACCAGAAAGCCACGGCUAACUACGUG
Molecule: ribosomal RNA, 519 nt
Filed under: uncultured bacterium
Lineage: Bacteria
Description: partial 16S ribosomal RNA
Rfam family: Bacterial small subunit ribosomal RNA
Source: RNAcentral